CCUACGGGAGGCAGCAGUGGGGAAUAUUGCACAAUGGGCGAAAGCCUGAUGCAGCCAUGCCGCGUGUAUGAAGAAGGCCUUCGGGUUGUAAAGUACUUUCAGUUGUGAGGAAGGGGGUAACGUUAAUAGCGUUAUCUCUUGACGUUAGCAACAGAAGAAGCACCGGCUAACUCCGUGCCAGCAGCCGCGGUAAU
Molecule: ribosomal RNA, 194 nt
Filed under: uncultured marine bacterium
Lineage: Bacteria
Description: partial 16S ribosomal RNA
Rfam family: Bacterial small subunit ribosomal RNA
Source: RNAcentral